RNAcentral lists this ribosomal RNA (506 nucleotides) under uncultured bacterium. Its description in RNAcentral is "partial 16S ribosomal RNA". It matches the Rfam family "Bacterial small subunit ribosomal RNA", at positions 29 to 523 of the family's 1533-position model. The record is from RNAcentral.
AGUGAACGCUGGCGGUAGGCCUAACACAUGCAAGUCGAACGGCAGCACAGGAGAGCUUGCUCUCUGGGUGGCGAGUGGCGGACGGGUGAGGAAUACAUCGGAAUCUACUCUGUCGUGGGGGAUAACGUAGGGAAACUUACGCUAAUACCGCAUACGACCUACGGGUGAAAGCAGGGGACCUUCGGGCCUUGCGCGAUUGAAUGAGCCGAUGUCGGGUUAGCGAGUUGGCGGGGUAAAGGCCCACCAAGGCGACGAUCCGUAGCUGGUCUGAGAGGAUGAUCAGCCACACUGGAACUGAGACACGGUCCAGACUCCUACGGGAGGCAGCAGUGGGGAAUAUUGGACAAUGGGCGCAAGCCUGAUCCAGCCAUACCGCGUGGGUGAAGAAGGCCUUCGGGUUGUAAAGCCCUUUUGUUGGGAAAGAAAUCCAGCCGGCUAAUACCCGGUUGGGAUGACGGUACCCAAAGAAUAAGCACCGGCUAACUUCGUGCCAGCCGCCGCAGUAA